Gavialis gangeticus (Gharial) is the source of this 434-nucleotide long non-coding RNA. RefSeq lists it as uncharacterized. The record is from RefSeq and is a predicted model, not a curated record. The transcript is spliced from 2 exons. Lineage: Eukaryota; Metazoa; Chordata; Crocodylia; Gavialidae.
UAGGCAGGUAUCUUCACAGUAGGGGGUACCUAGCCAUUAAAGCCGCCCGUUAAGGAGUCUACCUGCCAUGAUAAUGACUGCAAGAAAGGGGAAAUUUGCCUAAGAACCCUGUGACAGUUUGAAAUAUCCUUGUGUCUGUCAGGCUGCAGGGAAGAAUACGUUGCUUCACAGACAAAAACACAAAAGAAAAGGGGGAAAAUUGCCACGCAAGCAGUGACACUCUUGAGAAAGGCAAUGUUGAACCUAACCAGAGAGCUGCUUCAGAUUCCUGGAACUGGUUUCUGCUGCUGUGCCACUGUGAAUUUUAUGGAUCAUGAUCUGCUACCCUAAAAGGAGAAGAUGCCAAUGCUCCUGAUAAACAUACUGUCCUACCCAUCACCAUUAGGAACAAAAAACAGGCUCAACAGGGUAUUAACAAAGCUUGCAUAAAAUGG